RNAcentral lists this ribosomal RNA (443 nucleotides) under uncultured bacterium. RNAcentral describes it as "bacterial SSU rRNA". It matches the Rfam family "Bacterial small subunit ribosomal RNA", at positions 1 to 445 of the family's 1533-position model. The record is from RNAcentral.
CGGCCGCGUCGACGUUUGAUCAUGGCUCAGAUUGAACGCUGGCGGCAGGCCUAACACAUGCAAGUCGAGCGGUAGAGAGAAGCUUGCUUCUCUUGAGAGCGGCGGACGGGUGAGUAAUGCCUAGGAAUCUGCCUGGUAGUGGGGGAUAACGUUCGGAAACGAACGCUAAUACCGCAUACGUCCUACGGGAGAAGGCAGGGGACCUUCGGGCCUUGCGCUAUCAGAUGAGCCUAGGUCGGAUUAGCUAGUUGGUGAGGUAAUGGCUCACCAAGGCGACGAUCCGUAACUGGUCUGAGAGGAUGAUCAGUCACACUGGAACUGAGACACGGUCCAGACUCCUACGGGAGGCAGCAGUGGGGAAUAUUGGACAAUGGGCGAAAGCCUGAUCCAGCCAUGCCGCGUGUGUGAAGAAGGUAAAGUGAUGGGAACAGCCGGCUUGGUAA